UACGUAGGGUGCAAACGUUAUCCGGAUUUAUUGGGCGUAAAGAGCUCGUAGGCGGCUGUGUAAGUUGGAUAUUAAAUACCCAGGCUCAACCUGGGAAAAGUAUCCAAGACUGCACAGCUAGAGUGAUGCAGGGGAGAACGGAACUUACAGUGUAGCGGUGGAAUGCGUAGAUAUUGUAAGGAACGCCAAUGGUGAAGACAGUUCUCUGGGCAUUUUCUGACGCUGAGGAGCGAAAGCGUGGGUAGCGAUCGGGAUUAGAUACCCCGGUAGUCCACGCCCUAAACGAUGCAUACUGGGAAUUCGGAGUAUCGACCCUCUGAGUUCCGAAGCUAACGCGUUAAGUAUGCCGCCUGGGUAGUACGGCCGCAAGGCUAAA
RNAcentral lists this ribosomal RNA (376 nucleotides) under uncultured bacterium. RNAcentral describes it as "bacterial SSU rRNA". It matches the Rfam family "Bacterial small subunit ribosomal RNA", at positions 524 to 898 of the family's 1533-position model. The record is from RNAcentral.